This 459-nucleotide ribosomal RNA is filed under the name uncultured bacterium. Its description in RNAcentral is "partial 16S ribosomal RNA". It matches the Rfam family "Bacterial small subunit ribosomal RNA", at positions 338 to 795 of the family's 1533-position model. The record is from RNAcentral.
CCUAGGGCGGCAGCAGUGAGGAAUAUUGGUCAAUGGACGAGAGUCUGAACCAGCCAAGUAGCGUGAAGGAUGACUGCCCUAUGGGUUGUAAACUUCUUUUAUAUGGGAAUAAAAUGUUCCACGUGUGGGAUUUUGUAUGUACCAUAUGAAUAAGGAUCGGCUAACUCCGUGCCAGCAGCCGCGGUAAUACGGAGGAUCCGAGCGUUAUCCGGAUUUAUUGGGUUUAAAGGGAGCGUAGGUGGAUUGUUAAGUCAGUUGUGAAAGUUUGCGGCUCAACCGUAAAAUUGCAGUUGAAACUGGCAGUCUUGAGUACAGUAGAGGUGGGCGGAAUUCGUGGUGUAGCGGUGAAAUGCUUAGAUAUCACGAAGAACUCCGAUUGCGAAGGCAGUUCACUGGACUGCAACUGACACUGAGGCACGAAAGCGUGGGGAUCGAACAGGAUUAGAUACCCCUGUAGUC